This 578-nucleotide ribosomal RNA is filed under the name Strongyloides stercoralis. RNAcentral describes it as "partial 28S ribosomal RNA". The stretch from base 1 to 356 matches the Rfam family "Eukaryotic large subunit ribosomal RNA", at positions 112 to 664 of the family's 3401-position model. The record is from RNAcentral. Lineage: Eukaryota; Metazoa; Nematoda; Chromadorea; Rhabditida; Strongyloididae.
CACGAAAUCUAUAUUAUAAUAAUAAUAUCGAAAUGUCGUGUAUAGGUUUUAUUAUUAUUAAUAAAUUAUUAUUAAAUAAUUGUAUUUAAAUAUACAGCCACAGAAGGUGCCAGCCCUGUUAUUUAAUAAUAUUUAUUAAAUUUAUAAAACUUUAGAGUCGUGUUGCUUGGAAGUGCAGCACAAAGUUGGUGAUAAACAUCAUCUAAGGCUAAAUAUUCCUAUGAAUCCGAUAGUGAACAAGUACUGUGAAGGAAAAUUGCAAAGUACUCCGGAGAGAGAGUUAAAGAGGACGUGAAACCGAUACGAUGGAAGCAUACAGAGCCAGUUGCACUAUUAUUAAUAUUUUUUUAUUAAUAAUUUUAAGCAUGGGUAUAUUGAUUAUUAAUUAGUUAUUUAUUAAAGAGUGAUAAAAUUUUUUAAAUUUUGUUAACUUUAAUAAAAUAAUUAUAUUUAUAAUUAAUAUUAUAUAUUAUUAAUAUAUUAAUAAUAUUUUAAUUAUUAAUAUAAUAUAAGACACAUGUGUUAAAUAUUAUUUAUUAAUAAUUAUUAUAUUAUUAUAAAUUAAUAAACCUAUGUAA